Molecule: non-coding RNA, 78 nt
Organism: Potamilus streckersoni
Lineage: Eukaryota; Metazoa; Mollusca; Bivalvia; Unionida; Unionidae
Source: the annotation of a GenBank genome assembly
GCUCUGGUGGUAUAGUGAUUAGAGCGUCCGCCUCGGAUGCGAGAGGUCCUUGGUUAGAUCCACGCUCGAGUCAUAGCA